RNAcentral lists this long non-coding RNA (417 nucleotides) under Bos taurus (domestic cattle). Its description in RNAcentral is "long non-coding RNA NONBTAT026501". Lineage: Eukaryota; Metazoa; Chordata; Mammalia; Artiodactyla; Bovidae. The record is from RNAcentral.
GGAAAAACCUGGAAAAUAUACGUACCAAAUUGUAAAACUUUUAGAGAUGUGAUUGGAUAGACUGAAAAGGGACUUUUGCUUUAUAAAAUUUUUAAAGUGUGAUUUGGGCUGAUUUUUACUUUUUUCAGUUUUUUAAUAAAGAAAAAUUUAAUACUCUGCCAAUGAUUUGCAUUUCAGAAUAUUUGUCAGGCCUGCUCUGAGGAUAUCAUCUAACUAUACUCAGGAAAAACAUCUAUUCCUUUGAUAAACUGCUCACUUUGGAUUAACUCUAAUUUUAAAUAUAGUUUAAAGGACAAGAAGUAAGUUAUCCUGGUAUAACCUUUUGCACAUGUUACCUAGGAGCAUACUUCUAAGGUGGACUUUGCAGAAGAAACUUCUUCCUGUUGUAUAAAAUCUCACCGCUGCCCUUUACUAGAC